RNAcentral lists this unclassified non-coding RNA (253 nucleotides) under uncultured Pseudobdellovibrionaceae bacterium. RNAcentral describes it as "uncultured Bdellovibrionaceae bacterium contains 16S-23S intergenic spacer region". It matches the Rfam family "Bacterial small subunit ribosomal RNA", at positions 524 to 776 of the family's 1533-position model. The record is from RNAcentral. Lineage: Bacteria; Pseudomonadati; Bdellovibrionota; Bdellovibrionia; Bdellovibrionales; Pseudobdellovibrionaceae.
GACGAGGGGUCCUAGCGUUGUUCGGAAUCAUUGGGCGUAAAGCGGGUGUAGGUGGCUUUGUAAGUCAGAUGUGAAAGCCCUGGGCUCAACCCAGGAAGUGCAUUUGAAACUGCAUUGCUUGAGUGUGGCAGAGGAUGGCGGAAUUCCUGGUGUAGUGGUGAAAUACGUAGAUAUCAGGAGGAACAUCGGUGGGGAAGCCGGCUAUCUGGGCCAACACUGACACUCAGACCCGAAAGCGUGGGGAUCAAACAGG